Molecule: ribosomal RNA, 380 nt
Filed under: uncultured eukaryote
Lineage: Eukaryota
Description: partial 18S ribosomal RNA
Rfam family: Eukaryotic small subunit ribosomal RNA
Source: RNAcentral
CAAUAGCGUAUAUUAAAGUUGUUGCGGUUAAAAAGCUCGUAGUUGGAUUUCUGCUGAGAACGACCGGUCCGCCCUCUGGGUGUGUAUCUGGCUCUUUCUUGGCAUCUUCUUGGUGAACGUUGCUGCACUUGACUGUGUGGAGCGCUACCCAGGACUUUUACUUUGAGGAAAUUAGAGUGUUUCAAGCAGGCAUACGCCUUGAAUACAUUAGCAUGGAAUAAUAAGAUAGGACCUCGGUUCUAUUUUGUUGGUUUCUAGAGCUGAGGUAAUGAUUAAUAGGGAUAGUUGGGGGCAUUCGUAUUUAACUGUCAGAGGUGAAAUUCUUGGAUUUGUUAAAGCCGGACUACUGCGAAAGCAUUUGCCAAGGAUGUUUUCAUUGA